This 3167-nucleotide long non-coding RNA is filed under the name Equus caballus (horse). RNAcentral's name for it is "lncRNA (ENSECAG00000059549.1)". The record is from RNAcentral. Lineage: Eukaryota; Metazoa; Chordata; Mammalia; Perissodactyla; Equidae.
AGCAGAGGAAUGAAGUGAAUGGGCUUGUUUUGAAAGGAUUCUAUUUCACUUAUUGGUUGCUCAUGGCUUAGAACAACAGUGACUUGUUAUUCCCCCCAGUCCUGUGGGUUGACUGGGCCAUUCUUUGCUGGUUCCACCUGAGCUCAUUCAGAGAUGGACUGGCCUCAGCUGGGAUGCCUGGCCCUCUCUUUCCAUGAGGCCUUUCAUCCUCAAGGAGGCUACACCUGGUUGGGCUUCCUUCUAAGAUGGUGGCAGCAUUUCUGGAGAGCACACACUUAUUAAGCUUCUGCUUGCCUCAAUGUGCUAAGUCACAUUGCCAAACCCAGAGUCAAGGUGGGACUGUAUGUGGGUGUGGAUAUCAGAAGACGUGGUUUAUUAGGGGCAGUUAAUGUAACAAGCUACCACUCUGGCUGCUCUCUUGAGAAGAGACUUGAUGAAACGAAUGGCAGAGCAAGGAGGCCAAUUAAAGGGCUAUAUAGUAAUCCAGGUGGAACCUAAGCAGUUUGAUGAUGGACAGUGCAUGAGAUGUGGAAGAGAGGGGAGUUAAGGAGGACCCCCGGAUGUUUGCCUCCAGCACGGAGUUGCUAUAUACUGAGAAGGCUCCAUCCUCCGGAUUUAACAGGGCUCCCUUGGCCAUACAUAGUAUGUAUUUCACAUCCUCUCAAUCUGUUGCGAUGUUUUACCGCGUGCAUUUCACGGCGGAUCCUGAUUGUAAAUGGGUUGUAGAAACUUCAUUGGCUUCCUGUUUGUGACAUUUCUGAUGGAUGGUCCCUAUUUAUAGAGAACAGCGUGGCGUGUGCAAAGUUACACGGCUCCACGCCAUGCUUAAUGGAUUGGAAGGAGAGAGCUGGCGCUCCCACUGUGAAGAGAAUCAUCUGCUUCCUUUUCGUGCAGCAGUCAGAAAUGGCCGGUGAUGGAACCCAGGCUGUGAAAGGCCUGUGAGGCUGAGUCCAGUCCUGGCUCUUCCACACAGCUUCUGGGUUCCUGCAGAACUCAGUCCCAGGAAUAAUGCGGGGGCUUGCAGUGUUAAGGGCAUGGCUGCUGGGGUACACCAACAGAUGUGGAGCCCGCCCUGGGUCAUUUGGCGGUGUGUGUCCAGGGAAAAAAAAGAAAAACUCAGGGAGGAGGGUCAUCUGUAAGUCAUUGACUGAGGUUUAGAGACUGUGGCUUAUUCAUUCCUAACCCUAACGUCUAGUCCAAUGACUGGCACAUAUUGCUGAAUACAUGCUUAUUGACUGACUGCAUGAAUCUUACCUAAGGGAAUAGUGAUGCAGGAAUAUGAUGUAGGAAGAUGGCCUUGCAGGAGAAUGACCUUGAACAGAGGCUGACUUUGGCCUCAUCCCAUAUUCAGAUUCUUCUACGUGAGCCAACUGAUGAAGAUUGAAAAAUUCCACACAAUUGAUUAUCUGGAGCCAGGAAGAGGAGACAAAUGAUGCUUUGACUGAAUUCUGCAAGAUCUUUUAAAAUUAAUUCAGUUGCCAGUGGUUUGUGUGUGUAACUGCCAUCUUGGACCCAUGGGGACCAUUCUGAGCCCUAGAUCCAGGCUUUCAGAAGCUUUUCAGAGACCCCAUCUGGACUCCUCGUCUGCAGCUGCGGGGCCAUUAGAAGCUCGUCUGCUCUUGGCUUUCCAAACGGCUCCGUCGCUGGUCUGUCCCCACCAGUCGUUUCUCCCUCAAGUGGAACAAGCACCUUCUAAGUCUUUAUCUCCAAGACACACACCUCCACACCCUGCUAGACAGCUGAGACAAGGAAAGCUAAUUUUUCUCAGAGGACUUUUUCUAAAUGAGCAGAACCUGUGUUUCCGCUUCUUGUCUAAAAAGGUGUUCUUACUGAAUUCUAAAAGUAAAAGGGAUUUUCAAGGCUAUCUACUCCAACAUCCUUCCAGGGGCCACUUCUUUCAUUUAUCUUGUUAUUUAUUUAUUUAUUCAACAAAUAGACACAUAUUUACAAUAUAUAUGUGCAGCUAGGGAGAUAGAUGCCUGGCGGGCACAAUACCAGGCAUGAAGGGCCGCCAUGAUGGAUGAAACAGGCGCAGCUCAGUUAACACUCACGUAGCCAAUAUGGUGGGAGAAACAGACAUUAAAUAAAUUACAGCAAAAAUAAAUCUAUGUUCACAAAGCGUGCUUUGUGCCAUCAAACACAUAAAGGAGCUAUGCGGAGGUGAGGCAGGUAGACCUCACCUGUGCAGGGCGGGUGUUCUUUAAGCUGAGAUAGGAAGGACAGGUAGAGAGGAGAAUUAACACUGUGGGAGCAGAGCGGGAGACGUCACUGUGAGCUGCGGAUGGUGGGGAAGUGGCGUUUGAGCUGGGUGUUGUAAGGGUGCUGGAGAAGCAAACAUCUUGCCUUCUGGAGAAUGGUUAAUGAAAACAAGUGCUCACUCUCUUAAUUAAAAGUAAAAUCCCCCACAAACGAAGGCACACCACUCCUGCAGCUGCACUUCUGGGCUCCUGGGGCUGUGGCUGGUGCACAGUGCGUGGAGCGAGAGGGGUGAGGGGUGAAGCACUUCCAUUUGGGCUUUUCCACCCUCCGUGCCUGGCCUCCCCUGGCCCCCGACCUGAGGAUGCAAUGCUGACAACUCCAGUGAAGGGCUUCCAUCCUGUCUGCUCCAUUCACCAUGAAAGGCAAUCCCUUGGCCCCAGAAGAGCUCUGACCCACUUCCCUGCUUGUGAUAUUGAGAGAGGCAAUGGGACAGAUUGGAAAGAGCUGAAAGAACCUACACCAUGUGGGACUUCUACAGAAUUUUCCCCCUUUUUUGGAGAUCUUGCACUUUUCUAAGAGAUGACAUAGUACAGCUGUUAAGAGUAUAGGCCGUGGAGAUUGGGUUCAAAUCCUGUUUUUGUCACAUGCUUGCUGUCUAACCUUGAUGGGGCUGUUUGCCCUCCCUCUGCCUGUUUCAUGAUAUAUAAUGUAGGAAUAUAAUGUUACUUUUCUCAUUGCGUUGUUGUAAAGAUUAAAACAUUUAAUUUAUAUGAAGUCCUUAGAGCAGAGUCUGAGCUACAGAAAGCACCCUAAAUGCUGCUCAUUUGUUCACAUAUUAUCCCUUAACCAUAUGGAACCAUCAAAGGAUUUUCAGCAGGGGAAGGACAUGGCCAGCUCUGCACUUUAGAAAGAUUCCUGCCAGGAAGUGAAGAGAGGUGAUAUUGAGCCGGCACGAGGUCCCUUAAGAA